GGGGGGGGGGGGGGGGGGGGGGGGGGGGGGGAGGGCGGGCGGGGGCGGGGGGAGGGCUGGCGCGUACGGGGGGCGAGGGGCGGGCGGGUGAGGAAUACAGCGGAAUCUACUUGUUCGUGGGGGCUAACGUAGGGAAACUUACGCUGAUACCGCAUACGACCUACGGGUGGAAGCCGGGGAUCUUCGGACCUUGCGCGAUUGAAUGAGCCUAUGUCGGAUUAGCUAGUUGGCGGGGUAAAGGCCCACCAAGGCGACGAUCCGUAGCUGGUCUGAGGGGAUGAUCAGCCACACUGGAACUGAGACACGGUCCAGACUCCUACGGGAGGCAGCAGUGGGGAAUAUUGGACAAUGGGCGCAAGCCUGAUCCAGCCAUACCGCGUGGGUGAAGAAGGCCUUCGGGUUGUAAAGCCCUUUUGUUGGGAAAGAAAAGCAGCAGGUUAAUACCCCGCUGUUCUGACGGUACCCAAAGAAUAAGCACCGGCUAACUUCGUG
RNAcentral lists this ribosomal RNA (492 nucleotides) under uncultured bacterium. RNAcentral's name for it is "partial 16S ribosomal RNA". It matches the Rfam family "Bacterial small subunit ribosomal RNA", at positions 37 to 507 of the family's 1533-position model. The record is from RNAcentral.